GAUGAACGCUAGCGGGAGGCUUAAUACAUGCAAGUCGAGCGGUAAUUUAGGAAUAGCAAUAUUUCUGAGCUAGAGCGGCGCACGGGUGAGUAACGCGUACACGACCUGCCCUUUACUGGGGGAUAGCCUUGGGAAACUGAGAUUAAUACCCCAUGGUAUUAUUAUGCUGCAUGGUAUAAUAAUUAAAGCUGAGGCGGUAAAGGAUGGGUGUGCGUCUGAUUAGCUAGUUGGUAGGGUAACGGCCUACCAAGGCGAUGAUCAGUAGAGGGCGUGAGAGCGUGACCCCCCACACGGGUACUGAGACACGGACCCGACUCCUACGGGAGGCAGCAGUAAGGAAUAUUGGUCAAUGGAGGGAACUCUGAACCAGCCAUCCCGCGUGCAGGAUGAAGGGGCUCUGCCCUGUAAACUGCUUUUGAA
This 420-nucleotide ribosomal RNA is filed under the name uncultured bacterium. Its description in RNAcentral is "bacterial SSU rRNA". It matches the Rfam family "Bacterial small subunit ribosomal RNA", at positions 28 to 440 of the family's 1533-position model. The record is from RNAcentral.